CGGGGUGCAGCAGGCGCGAAAACUCUACAAUGCAGGCAACUGCGAUAGGGGAACAUCGAGUGAUACUCAUCUUGGGUGUCUGUCCUCCCGUCUAAAAAACGGGAGUUAGCAAGGGCCGGGCAAGACCGGUGCCAGCCGCCGCGGUAAUACCGGCGGCUCGAGUGGUGGCCGAUAUUAUUGAGUCUAAAGGGUCCGUAGCCGGCUUUGCAAGUCUUUUGGGAAAUCCAGCGGCUUAACCGUUGGUCGUCCGGGAGAUACUACAUUGCUUGGGACUGGGAGAGGUAGGAGGUACUCAGGGGGUAGGAGUGAAAUCCUGUAAUCCUUUGGGGACCACCGGUGGCGAAGGCGUCCUACCAGAACAGGUCCGACGGUGAGGGACGAAAGCUAGGGGCACGAACCGGAUUAGAUACCCGGGUAGUCCUAGCCGUAAACGAUGCUCGCUAGGUGUCACAACAAUCGUGAAUUGUUGUGGUGCCGUAGGGAAGCCGUGAAGCGAGCCACUUGGGAAGUACGACCGCAAGGUUGAAACUUAAAGGAAUUGGCGGGGGAGCAC
Molecule: ribosomal RNA, 553 nt
Filed under: uncultured archaeon
Lineage: Archaea
Description: bacterial SSU rRNA
Rfam family: Archaeal small subunit ribosomal RNA
Source: RNAcentral